RNAcentral lists this ribosomal RNA (253 nucleotides) under uncultured bacterium. RNAcentral describes it as "partial 16S ribosomal RNA". It matches the Rfam family "Bacterial small subunit ribosomal RNA", at positions 524 to 776 of the family's 1533-position model. The record is from RNAcentral.
AACGUAGGUGGCGAGCGUUAUCCGGAUUUACUGGGCGUAAAGCGCUUGUAGGUGGUUUUGUAAGUUGGGCGUGAAAUCUCCGGGCUUAACUUGGAGAGGCCGUCCAAUACUGCGAGGCUAGAGGUUAUUCGAGGAAAGUGGAAUUCCUGGUGUAGUAGUGAAAUGCGUAGAUAUCUGGAGGAACACCGGUGGCGAAGGCGGCAUCCUGGACCGGCAUUGACGCUGAGGAGCGAAAGCCAGGGGAGCAAACGGG